RNAcentral lists this ribosomal RNA (292 nucleotides) under uncultured bacterium. Its description in RNAcentral is "partial 16S ribosomal RNA". It matches the Rfam family "Bacterial small subunit ribosomal RNA", at positions 505 to 796 of the family's 1533-position model. The record is from RNAcentral.
GUUACAGCAGCCGCGGUAAGACGAAGGUGGCAACCGUUGUUCGGAAUCACUGGGCAUAAAGAGCACGUAGGCGGCUGGGUAAGUCGGGUGUGAAAUACCUCGGCCCAACCGAGGAAUUGCGCCCGAAACUGCUCGGCUUGAGGACAGGAGGGGAGCGUGGAAUUCCUGGUGGAGCGGUGAAAUGCGUUGAUAUCAGGAGGAACACCGGCGGCGAAGGCGACGCUCUGGCCUGUUUCUGACGCUGAGGUGCGAAAGCCAGGGGAGCAAACGGGAUUAGAAACCCUCGUAGUCC